Molecule: ribosomal RNA, 415 nt
Filed under: uncultured prokaryote
Description: bacterial SSU rRNA
Rfam family: Bacterial small subunit ribosomal RNA
Source: RNAcentral
GUGUCAGCCGCCGCGGUAAGACGGAGGGUGCAAGCGUUGUUCGGAAUUACUAGGCGUAAAGAGCGUGUAGGUGGUUAGCUAAGUCGGAUGUGAAAAUUCCGAGCUCAACUCGGAACCUGCAUUCGAAACUGGUUAACUUGAGUGUGGGAGAGGAGAGUGGAAUUCCUAGUGUAGCGGUGAAAUGCGUAGAUAUUAGGAAGAACACCAGUGGCGAAGGCGACUCUCUGGCCUAAAACUGACACUGAGACGCGAAAGCGUGGGGAGCGAACAGGAUUAGAUACCCUGGUAGUCCACGCUGUAAACGAUGGGCAUUAGGUGUAGGAGGUAUCCAAUCCUUCUGUGCCGAAGCUAACGCAUUAAAUGCCCCGCCUGGGGAGUACGGUCGCAAGGCUGAAACUCAAAUGAAUUGACGGGG